This 546-nucleotide ribosomal RNA is filed under the name uncultured bacterium. Its description in RNAcentral is "bacterial SSU rRNA". It matches the Rfam family "Bacterial small subunit ribosomal RNA", at positions 355 to 895 of the family's 1533-position model. The record is from RNAcentral.
UGGGGAAUAUUGCGCAAUGGGGGGAACCCUGACGCAGCCAUGCCGCGUGAAUGAAGAAGGCCUUCGGGUUGUAAAGUUCUUUCGGUAUUGAGGAAGGUUGAUGUGUUAAUAGCACAUCAAAUUGACGUUAAAUACAGAAGAAGCACCGGCUAACUCCGUGCCAGCAGCCGCGGUAAUACGGAGGGUGCGAGCGUUAAUCGGAAUAACUGGGCGUAAAGGGCACGCAGGCGGUUAUUUAAGUGAGGUGUGAAAGCCCUGGGCUUAACCUAGGAAUUGCAUUUCAGACUGGGUAACUAGAGUACUUUAGGGAGGGGUAGAAUUCCACGUGUAGCGGUGAAAUGCGUAGAGAUGUGGAGGAAUACCGAAGGCGAAGGCAGCCCCUUGGGAAUGUACUGACGCUCAUGUGCGAAAGCGUGGGGAGCAAACAGGAUUAGAUACCCUGGUAGUCCACGCUGUAAACGCUGUCGAUUUGGGGAUUGGGCUUAGAGCUUGGUGCCCGUAGCUAACGUGAUAAAUCGACCGCCUGGGGAGUACGGCCGCAAGGUU